UUGGCAACGUAAACUCUUCUUCCACAAAUAAACGGUCAGCGAAUAUUGAAAUUUCAAAAUUCAUUUCGAAUUCGCGUGGAGAAGCGAUUUUGUUCUUUGAUCUUCUUCUGGUUCUUUUCUCCGAUCAAUUGAAUUUCAUGUUCAGUGGCGUCUGAUUCGUUGGGUUAGUUCAAAUCGGGAAUCCAAGGGUUUCGAUUUUGGGUCGUCGGUGAUAAUCUAACGAUGGAUACGCGGAUUGGAUUCGGAUCGUGUGAUAGUAUUACCAAAUCGAAGAAGGUGAAAUUUUGGCUCAGUAGUAAGUGCUAAUAAGGGGGUCAUGUUUCUUGCCUCAUGCUGAUAUCUUUAAGAGCAUAUGACAGGUCAGAUAUCUCUCACUCUGUUCUCAUGUUUAUUGUGUCAGCUCGACAGGUUAUUUGCAUUUGAAAAGCUGAGUCUUGGCUUGUUUGGGUUACUCACACUAUCUGAAAACACACGUUAUCAAGAAACAGACACGGAAAUCACUCAAACAAAAUGCACUCAAACUCAAAACACACCCAAAGACUACAACACUCAAGCAUAAACAUAAACACACAAAACUCAAACACUACCAAAAACAAAUCACAUCUCACGCAACAAACCUCCAAACACACUCAAAGGUAACAAAACUCAAACAGAACAUAACAAAAGAAAUCAAAUACAGCACAACACAAAACUAGACACAAGAAAACAAAAAAAAACUAUAACGUCACGAUUAUAUUCUUCUUUUUUUAUUGGUAAGAAUUUUGAGAUUCUGUUGCCAAGUCAAUUUCAGGUAAGUAUCUUUAUCUUCCUAUUUUUCUUCCUUUUCUUUGUCUCUUACAACUUACAGCUAUUAAUCUUUUUUGUUAACAAUUUUGUACUUUGUAUGCUAUUCCAAAGGAGAAAUUCAAGCCACUACAAGCGACGGUGUCUUGCAUACAAAAGUAAAGAGCUAUGGACAUUGUUUCAUUGUCAAGAUUAAUAGAAACAAUAGGAGCAAAUCAGUCGAAUCCCGGAAUCAGACUUCAUGGUGGACUCUUAGGCUGAAAAUAAUUUAACAAGAAAGUGAUUCAGUCGACUCAUAAAAAGGAAGUGUCAGGUAGACGGAUCUUAAGCGGAAAAGAACCUAAUUUAAGAAAGCCAUUCAGUCUCCCCAAAAGAAGAAGGGUCAGAUCUUGAUUCCCAUGGUACACUAUUAACAAUAUCAGGGAUGGGUUUUAGUUGUUGGAGAAUCCUUUGCCAAUGAGACAACCAAAUAUUUCCUCAGUGCUAAGGUGACUGAUUUUCUUCAUCUCCUCUUACACCAAUCCUGACUUGCAUCAGACUUCGUAAGAUUUUCAAUAGAAGAUUCUUAGGAAAUAACUAAACAUAAGAAAUUGAUUCAGCCUACUCGGAAAAGGGAAGGGUCAGGUAGUUGUUGGAGAGUCUUUUACACAUGAGGCAACCAAAUGUUUCCUGAUCAGUACUAAGGAAACCAUCAUAUUUACAUGAUCCGGAUUAAUGGGGUUUGGAAUAAUGGCUGUGGUGUCACUUUUCGUUGCAUCUGUGAAGAAGAAAUUCAUGCAAGAAGAAUAUAUGGUUAUACCACUUUGUUUAUUUCGCUAUCUAUCUUUAUAUCUUUAUAUGUUUAUGUCUCCAUUUCCAAGCUCUAACAUCUUUAUAGCUUAUAUGUUUAUGUCUCCAUUUCCAGGCUCUAACAUAAUCAAUCUGAUUGGUAAAUGAUUCAGCAAUCAGGUGACAACUCAUAUCUCAAUUCCGUGUCAGGAGCAAAUGUGAGUGUUGAAACACUGUUUGAAUCAUAUUUGCUGCCUAGAUGAUUUGGGUUAUCUUUUUGUUAUCUUAAUGCCGUCUCAAACGUCUAUUGAGUGAGAUUGUUUUCCUAACUUGAUGAACAACCAGUCAGGCUCUGUAAGAUUCUUACCAUGUUUUGUAGUUUCAUUUUCUUGUUUGUAUGUCGUACUAGUCUGUGCCCAUAAUAAUUGCUAACAAAAUGUUUUGGAUACUAGAGAGUGGAUCUACAAAGAACAAAAAUUCAAGAAAGUGAUUCAGUAGCCAAGAGAGGUCAUGUAUUUUUGAGCUGUACAUAACCUAAUUUCCAGAGGCGAUUCCAAGAGCAUAUGAGAGGUCAGGUAAAGUAAUCUUUCCCUCUAAUCUCAUGCAUUCUUCCCUACAGGUUAUCUCCCCCUUCCCAUUUGUGUUUCUUUUUCAAUCUCUUACAUCUAUCAAUCAUUUUGUUGUUCAUAUUGAAGUUAAGUAUGUUGUCUAACAAUUUCGUAAUUUCUUUGCUACUUUGAAAGAGAAAUUCUAGUCACUACAAGCGAAAACGGUGUCUUGCAUACAAAAAGAAAGAGGUAAUCAAUACACUUAUACAGAUAUGUUUUGCUUUGUCAAUGUUUUUGUCCUGUUUUGUGAAGGUGAACUUAAAGGGACUGGAGCAGGCUACGACGAGACAAAAGAUUCUUUUUCGAUUCAUCCCUGAAGUUGAAAACCUCCAACUCGUGAACUUAGCUGUGAUGAUUCAAAAUUAAAGUGAUGAAUCAUAGUUGGUCUAAUGUAAAAUCGAGUAUCGAUAAGUAACAUUCAGACGUCACAUUCAAGUGAAUGAGUCUUUAUUUUUCAUACCUAUUAAUUCUUUUGACAACGACGAUUUUUUUAUUUUUACCAUAACUUUCUUAGCUAUCUUGACAUCACAUUCAAGUGAAUGAAUCUUUACUCUUCA
This is a long non-coding RNA of Arabidopsis lyrata subsp. lyrata, 2716 nucleotides long. RefSeq lists it as uncharacterized. NCBI's taxonomy places the organism in Eukaryota, Viridiplantae, Streptophyta, Magnoliopsida, Brassicales, Brassicaceae. The record is from RefSeq and is a predicted model, not a curated record. The transcript is spliced from 9 exons.